This 468-nucleotide ribosomal RNA is filed under the name uncultured bacterium. RNAcentral describes it as "partial 16S ribosomal RNA". It matches the Rfam family "Bacterial small subunit ribosomal RNA", at positions 28 to 507 of the family's 1533-position model. The record is from RNAcentral.
GACGAACGCUGGCGGCGCGCUUAACACAUGCAAGUCGAACGGACAGGCCCUGCUUAUUGGGGGUGCUGGGGUGGCGAAGGGGUGAGUAACACGUGUGUAACCUGCCCUUGACUUUGGGAUAACGCCAGGAACCUGGGGCUAAUACCGGAUAGGUGCCCCUGCUGGAUGGUGGGGGUUGGAAAGUGUCGGCUGUUGGGGAUGGACUCGCGGCUUAUGAGCUAGGUGGUGGGGAAGUGGCUGACCAAGGCUUUGCCGGGUAGACGGCCUGAGAGGGUGACCGGCCAGAUUGGGACUGAGAUACGGCCCAGACUCAUACGGGAGGGAGCAGGGGGGAAGGUUGCACGAUGGGCGGACGACAGAUGCAGCAACGGAGGGUGCGGGAGGACGGCCGGCGGUUGGGUAGCCGCUUUCGCUUAGGACGAAGGGUGAGUGACGGUAAUGGGUAAAGAAGCACCGGCUAACUACGUG